RNAcentral lists this long non-coding RNA (232 nucleotides) under Elaeis guineensis (African oil palm). RNAcentral's name for it is "long non-coding RNA (EGUI_LNC073254)". The record is from RNAcentral. Lineage: Eukaryota; Viridiplantae; Streptophyta; Magnoliopsida; Arecales; Arecaceae.
AUCCUUCAACUAAUCAAAAAAAUAACAACCAAGAAGUGGUUAUAACUAACUCUCAAUAAACUUAAGAGCAAAGGGAACAAAAAUCAAACAAGUGAUGCCAACUAAUUAACACCACAUCCUUGAUGUGCCGCCCACCCUCUUUUGGCUCCAAGGGAGGAUGCCAAGAGAGAGAAGGGGUGUGGGCUAGAGAGAGGAAGAAGAGGGAGGCAUGGAUCCAAUGAAGGUGGCAACA